Molecule: ribosomal RNA, 572 nt
Filed under: Entrophospora sp.
Lineage: Eukaryota; Fungi; Glomeromycota; Glomeromycetes; Entrophosporales; Entrophosporaceae
Description: SSU rRNA
Rfam family: Eukaryotic small subunit ribosomal RNA
Source: RNAcentral
UUGGAGGGCAAGUCUGGUGCCAGCAGCCGCGGUAAUUCCAGCUCCAAUAGCGUAUAUUAAAGUUGUUGCAGUUAAAAAGCUCGUAGUUGAAUUUCGGGAUUGGCGCAUCGGUCGUGCCUCACGGGGUAUGAACUGGUGCAGUCAAUUUCUCACCUUCUGGAGAACCGCGAUGUCCUUAAUUGGAUGCCGCGGGGAACCAGGACCUUUACUUUGAAAAAAUUAGAGUGUUUAAAGCAGGCAUUUUUGCUUGAAUACAUUAGCAUGGAAUAAUAAAAUAGGACGGCAUGGUUCUAUUUUGUUGGUUUCUAGGACCGCCGUAAUGAUUAAUAGGGAUAGUUGGGGGCAUUAGUAUUCAAUUGUCAGAGGUGAAAUUCUUGGAUUUAUUGAAGACUAACUACUGCGAAAGCAUUUGCCAAGGAUGUUUUCAUUAAUCAAGAACGAAAGUUAGGGGAUCGAAGACGAUCAGAUACCGUCGUAGUCUUAACCAUAAACUAUGCCGACUAGGAAUCAGACGAUGUUAAUUUUUUAAUGACUCGUUUGGCACCUUACGGGAAACCAAAGUGUUUGGGUUC